Molecule: ribosomal RNA, 497 nt
Filed under: uncultured bacterium
Lineage: Bacteria
Description: partial 16S ribosomal RNA
Rfam family: Bacterial small subunit ribosomal RNA
Source: RNAcentral
GAUGAACGCUGGCGGCGUGCCUAAUACAUGCAAGUCGAGCGAGCGGACGAGAAGCUUGCUUCUCUGAUGUUAGCGGCGGACGGGUGAGUAACACGUGGAUAACCUACCUAUAAGACUGGGAUAACUUCGGGAAACCGGAGCUAAUACCGGAUAAUAUUUUGAACCGCAUGGUUCAAAAGUGAAAGACGGUCUUGCUGACACUUAUAGAUGGAUCCGCGCUGCAUUAGCUAGUUGGUAAGGUAACGGCUUACCAAGGCAACGAUGCAUAGCCGACCUGAGAGGGUGAUCGGCCACACUGGAACUGAGACACGGUCCAGACUCCUACGGGAGGCAGCAGUAGGGAAUCUUCCGCAAUGGGCGAAAGCCUGACGGAGCAACGCCGCGUGAGUGAUGAAGGUCUUCGGAUCGUAAAACUCUGUUAUUAGGGAAGAACAUAUGUGUAAGUAACUGUGCACAUCUUGACGGUACCUAAUCAGAAAGCCACGGCUAACUACGUG